AGCAGCCGCGGUAAUUCCAGCUCCAAUAGCGUAUAUUAAAGUUGCUGCAGUUAAAAAGCUCGUAGUUGAAUUUCGGGACUAAUAUGUCGGUCGUGCCUCGGUACGUACUGGCUUAUUGGUUUCUCCUUUCUGAAGAACCAUGAUGUCAUUUAUUUGGUGUCGUGGGGAAUCAGGACUGUUACUUUGAAAAAUUGAGUGUUUAAAGCAGGCUCACGCUUGAAUACAUUAGCAUGGAAUAAUGAAAUAGGACGUUUGAUUCUAUUUUGUUGGUUUCUAGGAUCGACGUAAUGAUUAAUAGGGAUAGUUGGGGGCAUUAGUAUUCAAUUGUCAGAGGUGAAAUUCUUGGAUUUAUUGAAGACUAACUACUGCGAAAGCAUUUGCCAAGGAUGUUU
This 392-nucleotide ribosomal RNA is filed under the name uncultured Glomeromycotina. RNAcentral's name for it is "SSU rRNA". It matches the Rfam family "Eukaryotic small subunit ribosomal RNA", at positions 569 to 969 of the family's 1831-position model. Lineage: Eukaryota; Fungi; Glomeromycota. The record is from RNAcentral.